Molecule: unclassified non-coding RNA, 196 nt
Filed under: uncultured Chaetothyriales
Lineage: Eukaryota; Fungi; Ascomycota; Eurotiomycetes; Chaetothyriales
Description: sequence contains ITS2
Source: RNAcentral
UCACCCCUCGAGCCCCCCUGGGCUUGGUGUUGGACGGCCUGGUCGGAGUCCCCUCCGACCCCUCCUAAAGACAAUGACGGCGGCCUCGUGGGACCCCCGGUACACUGAGCUUCUUAACUGAGCACGUAUCGGAUCAAGGGUGCCCGGGACCCGGUCUCCCCUUCUUCCCUCCCCGGGAGAAGCAACUCCUUUCUAA